Molecule: ribosomal RNA, 400 nt
Filed under: uncultured Strombidiidae
Lineage: Eukaryota; Ciliophora; Spirotrichea; Strombidiidae
Description: partial small subunit ribosomal RNA
Rfam family: Eukaryotic small subunit ribosomal RNA
Source: RNAcentral
GCUUGUCUCAAAGAUUAAGCCAUGCAUGUCUUAGUGUAAAUAACUCUUAUGAAACUGCGAAUGGCUCAUUAAAUCAGUUAUCGUUUAUUUGAUGGUCCCUUACUACAUGGAUAACCGUGGUAAUUCUAGAGCUAAUACAUGCUGGCGUGCCCGACUUUUGUGGAAGGGCGGUAUUUAUUAGAUAACAAGCCAAUAUUCCUCACGGUCUAUUGUGGUGACUCAUAAUAACUGAUCGAAUCGCAAGGCCCUUGGCCGCGAUAAGUCAUUCAAGUUUCUGCCCCAUCAGCUUUCGAUGGUAGUGUAUUGGACUACCAUGGCGUUCACGGGUAACGGAGAAUUAGGGUUCGAUUCCGGAGAGGGAGCCUGAGAAACGGCUACCACAUCUAAGGAAGGCAGCAGG